Molecule: unclassified non-coding RNA, 300 nt
Filed under: fungal sp.
Lineage: Eukaryota; Fungi
Description: partial internal transcribed spacer region
Rfam family: Eukaryotic small subunit ribosomal RNA (bases 1-46)
Source: RNAcentral
AAGUCGUAACAAGGUUUCCGUAGGUGAACCUGCGGAAGGAUCAUUAACACAUUGUCCAUUUGAUGAUAGUGAUUGUCUUUUAUUCUGAGUGUCAUAAUUCGGAUGAAGCAGUCCUAUCAUUCAAACCACUUAGCGAAUGAGUUGAAGUCCUCAUUAUUAAUUAACUUUAAUAAUUUAGUGGAAUAAAACUAUGUAAUCACGUUUAAUGAAUUUAGAAAUGAAUUCAUUCGACUAAUGUUUACUUCAAAAAAACAAAAUAUAACCAAGACAACUUGUAACAGUGGAUACCUUGGUUCCCAG